UUUUUUGAAUGACGUCAUUGUUUGGUAUGUAACGUCACGAACGUCAAGUUUUCAUAUUGUAUGUGACGUCACGAACAUCAAAUUUGCAUAUUUUUUGGCACACUAAAUGCAACUAUAAAAAAUACAAAACACUCAAAUAAAUAAAUAAAUACAAUAAUAAACAAUUUUUUUUUAAAACAGCAGCAGGCAAAUGGUAAGGUAACC
Molecule: long non-coding RNA, 204 nt
Filed under: Mytilus galloprovincialis (Mediterranean mussel)
Lineage: Eukaryota; Metazoa; Mollusca; Bivalvia; Mytilida; Mytilidae
Source: RNAcentral